AUGCAGUCGAGCGGGGUUUUCGGACCUAGCUGCGGACGGGUGAGUAAUGCGUAGUAAGCUACCCGAUAGAGGGGGAUACCAGUUGGAAACGACUGUUAAUACCGCAUAAUGUCUACGGACCAAAGUGUGGGACCUUCGGGCCACAUGCUAUCGGAUGCGCCUACGUGGGAUUAGCUAGUUGGUGGGGUAAUGGCUCACCAAGGCGACGAUCCCUAGCUGGUUUGAGAGGAUGAUCAGCCACACUGGAACUGAGACACGGUCCAGACUCCUACGGGAGGCAGCAGUGGGGAAUAUUGGACAAUGGGCGCAAGCCUGAUCCAGCCAUGCCGCGUGUGUGAAGAAGGCCUUCGGGUUGUAAAGCACUUUCAGCGAGGAGGAAGGGAGUUGUGUUAAUAGUACAGCUUCUUGACGUUACUCGCAGAAGAAGCACCGGCUAACUCUGUGCCAGCAGCCGCGGUAAUACAGAGGGUGCAAGCGUUAAUCGGAAUUACUGGGCGUAAAGCGCACGUAGGCGGUUUUUUAAGUCAGAUGUGAAAGCCCCGGGCUCAACCUGGGAAUUGCAUUUGAAACUGGAAAACUAGAGUGUGUGAGAGGGGGGUAGAAUUCCA
This 608-nucleotide ribosomal RNA is filed under the name uncultured bacterium. RNAcentral describes it as "bacterial SSU rRNA". It matches the Rfam family "Bacterial small subunit ribosomal RNA", at positions 55 to 671 of the family's 1533-position model. The record is from RNAcentral.